UACGAAGGGGGCUAGCGUUGUUCGGAAUUACUGGGCGUAAAGCGCACGUAGGCGGAUAUUUAAGUCAGGGGUGAAAUCCCAGAGCUCAACUCUGGAACUGCCUUUGAUACUGGGUAUCUCGAGUGUGGAAGAGGUGAGUGGAAUUCCGAGUGUAGAGGUGAAAUUCGUAGAUAUUCGGAGGAACACCAGUGGCGAAGGCGGCUCACUGGUCCAUUACUGACGCUGAGGUGCGAAAGCGUGGGGAGCAAACAGG
This 253-nucleotide ribosomal RNA is filed under the name uncultured bacterium. RNAcentral's name for it is "partial 16S ribosomal RNA". It matches the Rfam family "Bacterial small subunit ribosomal RNA", at positions 524 to 776 of the family's 1533-position model. The record is from RNAcentral.